GGGUCAUCAGCUUGCCCUGCGGGGACUGGGCCAUGCGCUCUAUCGUGGGAAACAGCAGCACGGAGCGGAGGACCUGAAGUUCUGAUGCUCGCUUCAUCAUCUCCAGUGUGAUGUAGCAACCAAUAGAAUGAGCAAUCAGUACCAGCUUUAUAUCUUUUGAUACGUUCUUUUUAAGGAAGUUCAGCUUAUGUUCUACUUGUCCAUUAAGUCCAAACACAUCCUCCAGCUCCUUAAUAUCUGUGUCUUCUAUCAU
This 253-nucleotide long non-coding RNA is filed under the name Gallus gallus (chicken). The record is from RNAcentral. Lineage: Eukaryota; Metazoa; Chordata; Aves; Galliformes; Phasianidae.